CGUGCUGCUACUUAUGACGGCCGCUGCAGCUGCUGUGUAUGGUUCCACCGCUGUCCGAAAACUUGGCGAUAUGCCGGAAAAUCUAUAUGCCAAGGAACAAAAGGCAUUUAAGCACUGGUCGGCACAUUUAAGUGGAUAUACAGGUUUCAGCACGGCCUCCAGUUCACCAAAAGAAAACACUGCCUCGUGGGUCUGCACCGUCGCCCCAAAAAACAGGAAUGGCGUGUUGCGGCUUGCCUUUUAUAGGCCGGAUGUCGUAUGCCUGCGGAUUUUUACGUCCUUGCGCAUCCGUUCAUCACGGCCUUGACGUUUCCCCACUUUGAGGUGCCAUCGGGACACAACCCUGCGCCUGCGUGGCUGCAGUUGCCACCAUGGUGCCUCGCUCGGUACCGCUAGAUGGCGCUGCAGUACCUUUAUAAAUUCUUGGCGCCUUCCGUAGCGCUGCCACCUUUUAUUCUUCGUGACCAGCCCGAUGCAACACCACCGCAAAUAUCCAAGUGGGCGGACGCUCGUGCCCCGAAGUGAUGUUUGCGCGCAUCAAACGGCUGGUGUUGUUGGAGUCCUCUGCUUCGAGUCCGGCGUUGCCUCGGAUGACUACUACCGCGGCGCCCAACGUAGGCCACACCCACUCUUGAUCUUCAGGACAGGCGUCACACUCGGAUAUCCUUUGCGUGGAAUACCCCCAGCAAGUUCCCUUGCAAAUCUUCCAGCUCGUAUGCGUUGGUGCCGAUGGAUUUCCUUACGCGAGCUUUUAGAAAUUUCCGCGCGAAUUUCGCAUUGAACGCGCGGCUGAAAUCACUCAAUGCAAAGUUUCGCCGGUAUACCUCCUGACCGGGCGCUAGUCUUAGCCGCCGCGCACGCCGGUUAUAGCGAACGCUACUGCGCUCAUACGCCGCAUGCAAUUGUGCCUGGAUUUUCUGUUGCAACAGGGAUUGCCUGUCUGCUGUACACAACGCUGCGAAUUCGUGCUCGUCUAAGGACCUUAAUUUCCUCGCCAAUCGGUAC
RNA transcript from Scaptodrosophila lebanonensis, 1005 nucleotides. RefSeq lists it as uncharacterized. NCBI's taxonomy places the organism in Eukaryota, Metazoa, Arthropoda, Insecta, Diptera, Drosophilidae. The record is from RefSeq and is a predicted model, not a curated record. The transcript has 3 exons.